UUUUAAUUUCAUUGUCUGAUGUAAAUGCAUCUGUGCAUUGAGUUGAGUUGAGCAUAUUAAGUUGCAAGAGAAAAGAAAACCAGGGGCAAACUUAGGAUGACCUUGGUCGUUGUGAAGAAAGAUUUAUUACUGCCCUUAAUGGAGGAAAAUGAUCCUUGUAGCUGACCUUAUCUAGUUAAGAAUUAAGAUUUAGCUGAGUUGAAUUAUACUUCUUGUUCUUAUUUCCAAGGUGAUUUAACGUUUUCUGCAGUUCAAAUAUUGUCAAAACCCAUAUUGAGCUCUUUAUUGACGAGAUAAAGGUG
RNAcentral lists this unclassified non-coding RNA (302 nucleotides) under Hevea brasiliensis (rubber tree). The record is from RNAcentral. Lineage: Eukaryota; Viridiplantae; Streptophyta; Magnoliopsida; Malpighiales; Euphorbiaceae.